This is a non-coding RNA of Ictidomys tridecemlineatus (thirteen-lined ground squirrel), 859 nucleotides long. NCBI's taxonomy places the organism in Eukaryota, Metazoa, Chordata, Mammalia, Rodentia, Sciuridae. The record is from RefSeq and is a predicted model, not a curated record.
AUCACCGAGGUGCCAACCAACGGAUUGAGGAUGCCGGCAGGAUGGAUGGUGUCACCUAUGCUGAUGAACAGACUGACCCACGACAGGACGAGACAGACUGGGGGCCAGGAGCCCAGUAAAGGAGGCUGAGCUCCUCCUAGCUCCUCAGAGCCUCUACUCUAUGGAUCUGAACUCCUAGAUUCUGCUUCUUCCCUGGACACCUUCAGGAAGACUUUGAGAAUUGCCCCUACCUGACCUCAGUGCCCUCCUGUCUGGAGCCACCACUUCACCAUGGCAAAGGGCUGGGUUCUGGGGAACUUGCCCACACACUAUGAAUUUCUCUACAUGCACCACAUUUGGCUUUGCUCUGUAUGAUUGAAGAUGGUAACACAGGGCCCUCAGAUUAUUUGAGAGUGUAGCAAACAUUUUCAAAGUGACAACAAAAAGGACCUCUCUUUAAAGGUAAAGUUAUCAUUCUUAAGUCACAGAACAGUUGGAGUCCCCAUCUGGUAGAUAUCAGUUGCUUCUGAAUCUGAUGUUUGAGGGAAAUCCCUGGUCUGAGAAAUGCCUGUUUCCCUGCCCACUGUCCUCUUCUCCCCAUAUGAGGGUGUGCCUGGGGCCCCUCAAGACAAUCAGCUGCUGCCUCCCAGGGGACACACCCCUUUCUCUGGAAGAGGUAGUGGCAACAUAAAACUCCUAAGCAACAUUUUAAAUACAAGAAGAGUAUAUAUUUAUUCAUAAAGUAUCCUGCUAAAGAGGGAAAGUGCACAUUUAUUCACAUACAGCUCAGAACUUGUAAAAUUCUGCAAGCAAAUGGAUAUUGAAUCAGUCCCCUGACAUAUGCAUUCAGGAAGAAUAAAUUUCAAUAAUAUGAGGCCAA